RNAcentral lists this ribosomal RNA (261 nucleotides) under Salmonella enterica subsp. enterica serovar Kentucky. RNAcentral's name for it is "partial 23S ribosomal RNA". It matches the Rfam family "Bacterial large subunit ribosomal RNA", at positions 1085 to 1345 of the family's 2925-position model. Lineage: Bacteria; Pseudomonadati; Pseudomonadota; Gammaproteobacteria; Enterobacterales; Enterobacteriaceae. The record is from RNAcentral.
CCAGACAGCCAGGAUGUUGGCUUAGAAGCAGCCAUCAUUUAAAGAAAGCGUAAUAGCUCACUGGUCGAGUCGGCCUGCGCGGAAGAUGUAACGGGGCUAAACCAUGCACCGAAGCUGCGGCAGCGACACUGUGUGUUGUUGGGUAGGGGAGCGUUCUGUAAGCCUGUGAAGGUGUGUCGUGAGGCAUGCUGGAGGUAUCAGAAGUGCGAAUGCUGACAUAAGUAACGAUAAAGCGGGUGAAAAGCCCGCUCGCCGGAAGAC